RNAcentral lists this ribosomal RNA (2841 nucleotides) under Aeromonas veronii. RNAcentral describes it as "partial 23S ribosomal RNA". It matches the Rfam family "Bacterial large subunit ribosomal RNA". Lineage: Bacteria; Pseudomonadati; Pseudomonadota; Gammaproteobacteria; Aeromonadales; Aeromonadaceae. The record is from RNAcentral.
GGUUAAGUGACUAAGCGUACAUGGUGGAUGCCUUGGCAGUCAGAGGCGAUGAAGGACGUACUAACCUGCGAUAAGCUGUGAGAAGUCGGUAAGAGACGCUAUUACUCACAGAUUUCCGAAUGGGGAAACCCACCCGAGAUAACUCGGGUAUCUGUUACUGAAUACAUAGGUAACAGAGGCGAACCGGGAGAACUGAAACAUCUAAGUACCCCGAGGAAAAGAAAUCAACCGAGAUUCCCUCAGUAGCGGCGAGCGAACGGGGAUUAGCCCUUAAGCAUCUUGGAAGUUAGUGGAACGGUCCUGGAAAGGCCGGCGAUACAGGGUGAUAGCCCCGUACACGAAAACAACCUUGAUGUGAAAUCGAGUAGGGCGGGACACGUGACAUCCUGUCUGAAUAUGGGGGGACCAUCCUCCAAGGCUAAAUACUCCUGACUGACCGAUAGUGAACCAGUACCGUGAGGGAAAGGCGAAAAGAACCCCUGUGAGGGGAGUGAAAUAGAACCUGAAACCGUGUACGUACAAGCAGUGGGAGCCCUUCGGGGUGACUGCGUACCUUUUGUAUAAUGGGUCAGCGACUUACAUUUUGUAGCGAGGUUAACCGUAUAGGGGAGCCGUAGGGAAACCGAGUCUUAACUGGGCGUCUAGUUGCAAGGUGUAGACCCGAAACCGGGUGAUCUAGCCAUGGGCAGGUUGAAGGUUGAGUAACAUCAACUGGAGGACCGAACCCACUAACGUUGCAAAGUUAGGGGAUGACCUGUGGCUGGGGGUGAAAGGCCAAUCAAACUCGGAGAUAGCUGGUUCUCCCCGAAAGCUAUUUAGGUAGCGCCUCGGACGAAUACUACUGGGGGUAGAGCACUGUUUGGGCUAGGGGGUCAUCCCGACUUACCAACCCCAUGCAAACUCCGAAUACCAGUAAGUAAUAUCCGGGAGACACACGGCGGGUGCUAACGUCCGUCGUGAAGAGGGAAACAACCCAGACCGCCGGCUAAGGUCCCAAAGUUCUGGUUAAGUGGGAAACGAUGUGGGAAGGCUCAGACAGCUAGGAUGUUGGCUUAGAAGCAGCCAUCAUUUAAAGAAAGCGUAAUAGCUCACUAGUCGAGUCGGCCUGCGCGGAAGAUGUAACGGGGCUCAAACCAGGCACCGAAGCCGCGGAUUCACACUUAUGUGUGAGUGGUAGGGGAGCGUUCUGUAAGUCUGCGAAGGUGUAUCGAGAGGUAUGCUGGAGAUAUCAGAAGUGCGAAUGCUGACGUAAGUAACGAUAAAGGGGGUGAAAAGCCUCCUCGCCGGAAGACCAAGGGUUCCUGUCCAACGUUAAUCGGGGCAGGGUGAGUCGACCCCUAAGGCGAGGCCGAAAGGCGUAGUCGAUGGGAAGCAGGUUAAUAUUCCUGCACGACUUGUAAUUGCGAUGGGGGGACGGAGAAGGCUAGGUGGGCCAGGCGACGGUUGUCCUGGUGAAAGUGCGUAGGUGGUGUUUCUAGGCAAAUCCGGAGACACAACACUGAGACACGAGACGAACACACUACGGUGUGGAAGCCAUUGAUGCCCUGCUUCCAGGAAAAGCCUCUAAGCUUCAGAUUACAAGUCAUCGUACCCCAAACCGACACAGGUGGUCGGGUAGAGAAUACCAAGGCGCUUGAGAGAACUCGGGUGAAGGAACUAGGCAAAAUAGAACCGUAACUUCGGGAGAAGGUUCGCUCUUGAUGGUGAAGUCCCUUGCGGAUGGAGCUGUCGGGAGUCGCAGUGACCAGAUGGCUGGGACUGUUUAUCAAAAACACAGCACUCUGCAAACACGAAAGUGGACGUAUAGGGUGUGACACCUGCCCGGUGCCGGAAGGUUAAUUGAUGGGGUUAGCGCAAGCGAAGCUCUUGAUCGAAGCCCCGGUAAACGGCGGCCGUAACUAUAACGGUCCUAAGGUAGCGAAAUUCCUUGUCGGGUAAGUUCCGACCUGCACGAAUGGUGUAACCAUGGCCAUGCUGUCUCCACCCGAGACUCAGUGAAAUCGAAUUCGCCGUGAAGAUGCGGUGUACCCGCGGCUAGACGGAAAGACCCCGUGAACCUUUACUACAGCUUGGCACUGAACAUUGAACCUACAUGUGUAGGAUAGGUGGGAGGCUUUGAAGGCGUGACGCCAGUUGCGCUGGAGCCGUCCUUGAAAUACCACCCUUGUAUGUUUGAUGUUCUAACGCAGGGCCCUGAAUCGGGCUCGCGGACAGUGCCUGGUGGGUAGUUUGACUGGGGCGGUCUCCUCCCAAAGAGUAACGGAGGAGCACGAAGGUUGGCUAAUCCUGGUCGGACAUCAGGAGGUUAGUGCAAUGGCAUAAGCCAGCUUAACUGCGAGACGGACAGGUCGAGCAGGUACGAAAGUAGGUCAUAGUGAUCCGGUGGUUCUGAAUGGAAGGGCCAUCGCUCAACGGAUAAAAGGUACUCCGGGGAUAACAGGCUGAUACCGCCCAAGAGUUCAUAUCGACGGCGGUGUUUGGCACCUCGAUGUCGGCUCAUCACAUCCUGGGGCUGAAGUCGGUCCCAAGGGUAUGGCUGUUCGCCAUUUAAAGUGGUACGCGAGCUGGGUUCAGAACGUCGUGAGACAGUUCGGUCCCUAUCUGCCGUGGGCGUUGGAUGAUUGAAGGGAGUUGCUCCUAGUACGAGAGGACCGGAGUGAACGAACCUCUGGUGUUCGGGUUGUCACGCCAGUGGCACUGCCCGGUAGCUAAGUUCGGAAUCGAUAACCGCUGAAAGCAUCUAAGCGGGAAGCGAGCCCUGAGAUGAGUCAUCCCUGACCCCUUGAGGGUCCUAAAGGGCCGUUGGAGACCACAACGUUGAUAGGUGGGGUGUGUAAGCGC